This 492-nucleotide ribosomal RNA is filed under the name uncultured bacterium. RNAcentral describes it as "partial 16S ribosomal RNA". It matches the Rfam family "Bacterial small subunit ribosomal RNA", at positions 29 to 507 of the family's 1533-position model. The record is from RNAcentral.
AGUGAACGCUGGCGGUAGGCCUAACACAUGCAAGUCGAACGGCAGCACAGUAAGAGCUUGCUCUUACGGGUGGCGAGUGGCGGACGGGUGAGGAAUACAUCGGAAUCUACUUUUUCGUGGGGGAUAACGUAGGGAAACUUACGCUAAUACCUCAUACGACCUACGGGUGAAAGCAGGGGAUCUUCGGACCUUGCCCGAUUGAAUGAGCCGAUGUCGGAUUAGCUAGUUGGCGGGGUAAAGGCCCACCAAGGCGACGAUCCGUAGCUGGUCUGAGAGGAUGAUCAGCCACACUGGAACUGAGACACGGUCCAGACUCCUACGGGAGGCAGCAGUGGGGAAUAUUGGACAAUGGGCGCAAGCCUGAUCCAGCCAUACCGCGUGGGUGAAGAAGGCCUUCGGGUUGUAAAGCCCUUUUGUUGGGAAAGAAAAGCAGCAGGUUAAUACCCCGCUGUUCUGACGGUACCCAAAGAAUAAGCACCGGCUAACUUCGUG